Molecule: small nucleolar RNA, 107 nt
Filed under: Jatropha curcas
Lineage: Eukaryota; Viridiplantae; Streptophyta; Magnoliopsida; Malpighiales; Euphorbiaceae
Description: Plant small nucleolar RNA R71
Rfam family: Plant small nucleolar RNA R71
About the family: R71 is a member of the C/D box family of snoRNAs containing the C (UGAUGA) and D (CUGA) box motifs.
Source: Rfam by way of RNAcentral
AAAUUGUGAUGUGGGCACUUUCUCAACAAGUCCUUGAAUCUUUCCCAAGCUUCAUAUAAAAUUUCUUGAUCAUGGUGGACAAAAGUCAUUAUAUCAUUGCACAGUUU